GACGAACGCUGGCGGCGUGCCUAAUACAUGCAAGUAGAACGCUGAAGAGAGGAGCUUGCUCUUCUUGGAUUAGUUGCGGACGGGUGAGUAACGCGUAGGUAACCUGCCUUUUAGCGGGGGAUAACUAUUGGAAACGAUAGCUAAUACCGCAUAACAAUGGAUGACACAUGUCAUUUAUUUGAAAGGGGCACUUGUUCCACUACAAGAUGGACCUGCGUUUGAUUUGCCAGUAGGUUAGGUAAUGGCUCACCUAGGCGACGGUUCAUAGCCGGCCUGAGAGGGUGGACGGGCACACUGGGACUGGGACACGGCCCAGACUCCCACGGGAGGCAGCAGUAAGGGAUCCUCGGGAAUGGGGGGAAAGCUGAACGGGCAACGCCGGGUGAGUGAAGGAGGUUUUCGGAUCGUAAAGAUCUGUUGUAUGGCGAGAACGGGUGUGGGAGUGGAAUGUUCACACUGUGACGGUAGCUAAUCAGAAAGGGACGGCUAACUACGUG
This 497-nucleotide ribosomal RNA is filed under the name uncultured bacterium. RNAcentral's name for it is "partial 16S ribosomal RNA". It matches the Rfam family "Bacterial small subunit ribosomal RNA", at positions 28 to 507 of the family's 1533-position model. The record is from RNAcentral.